RNAcentral lists this unclassified non-coding RNA (240 nucleotides) under Hevea brasiliensis (rubber tree). The record is from RNAcentral. Lineage: Eukaryota; Viridiplantae; Streptophyta; Magnoliopsida; Malpighiales; Euphorbiaceae.
GGUGGAUCUAAGGCACCAGUUUUGCAGGUGCGCAAGGUAGCUCAUGGAGGAUGUGUAAAUCGUAUACGUGCCAUGCAACAAAAUCCUCAUAUAUGUGCAUCUUGGGCUGAUGGUGGCCAUGUUCAGAUUUGGGACUUCAGCUCUCAUCUCAAUACUUUAGCAGGAUCAGACGCUAAAGUUUCCCAGGGAGAAUCUUCAGUUUUUAAUCAGGCUCCAUUGAUUUUGUUCAAGCACAAGGAU